This 6903-nucleotide long non-coding RNA is filed under the name Linum usitatissimum (flax). RNAcentral describes it as "long non-coding RNA (LUSI_LNC007309)". Lineage: Eukaryota; Viridiplantae; Streptophyta; Magnoliopsida; Malpighiales; Linaceae. The record is from RNAcentral.
AAUUCUGCUGCAAAUACAACGCCAUCUUCUUCUUCUUCUUCAGAGCAGGAUGUAUGGUCUGCUGUUCAGGAGAGGGCGCUUGUGCAAGCACUGAAAACCUUUCCAAAGGAUGCCAAUCAGCGAUGGGAGCGAGUUGCAGCUGCAGUACCUGGAAAGACUGUAAACCAGUGCAAGAAGAAAUUUGCUUUGCUGAAGGAGAGCUUUAGAAGCAAGAAAAGUACUGCCUAGUCUCCAGCAGAGGAGGUUGGUUGCUUGUCGGCUCAAUAUCGAUGAUUAUUGUGAGUAGUCGUCCAGAAGGUAUGUUGAUAUCCAAGGUUUCAUCUCGCCUAACACACCUUGGAGAGCCAUCUCACAUGCCAGGUAGAGCAAGUUGGGGCGCUCUUAAUCUUUAUAGUACAACACGUUUUUGGUGCCUGGAAACAAGAGAGUAGUAGUAGUAGUAGUAAGUACCACCAUUAUUUUCCAGGGUGAGAGACACAGCAUGGAAAGAAGAUUUUGGUUAGGGGGCAAUAUUUCUCACAAUGCUUCCUUCACUUAAGUAUCAUGAUCUUUUAUAUUUGCAUGAUUUUUGGCUACUGCACCAUGCAAGAGUCAUUGGAUGUUGGAUACAGUUUCUAAUGCAUUCUUUACUACGUUGGCGUUGUCAUUAUUAACUGAGGGUAGUCUUAGACUUAAGAGGCUUUGUUUCCUGCUCAAAGUUGCCAAAGUGUUGACGUUUAGUUUGAAGGGCACAAAUCUGGAUCACUUCAAACGAAAUUCAGAAGUUGGAAUUAGGUAAAUUAAGCCUCCAAAUCUAGCAGAAUUGUGGAUGUCGCUUUGUGAUGGUAAUGUAACCCUAAAUUUGACCAAUUCUGCGUCCUCGUCCGCCACUGAAAACGCACCAGCAGGAAUUGGAACAUGGAUUUCCCAACUGAAAUAUUUUACUGUUGCGUUUUGCUCACAGACAAACAAGAUUUUCUCUGGAAACAUUGUUAACAAAAACUUAAAAAAGGCGAACACUCAUAACUGAAGCUCGAGAGUACAUGUUUGAUUAACACAAUAAGUAUGUCAUACCAUUACUUCAUCUUUGAAACACUUUCUUCCAGUUCGAUCGAUGGUUUAAUAAGUGGUUCAGUCUGAAAAUCUGUCUAUCUGAUGUGAUGAUUUUGAGUGUAUUCAUAUCUUAUUCGCCUUGAAGUGCCAUUGGAUAAUCUAUCACAAGGAGGAUAGGACAUAUAGCUAAAUCUAUAAUGGAAAGUCUCGUCAUUUAGGGGUGAGGCAUAGUGAUGUCUAUGAACUGAUCACUCACGGGACAAUCACUGUCCAAUAUGUUCGGUCUGAACAAAAUCUAGUUGAUCACUUGACAAAGAGAUUAACUAGAGAUUUGGUUACCAAAUCAGCAGGAGGGGUGAGACUUAAGUCUGUCUUGAUCUCCAAAAAUAGGACAUCUAAUUCCCCUCUAAUACAACAUUAGAGGCUAAAUUCAAUGCGGAAAGCCUAUGGAUGGAAAUUGGAGCACAAGGUUUGAAACAUCCAGCAGGUAUGUGCUCAGAAACCUACGAGUGAUAGAGGUUGAAAAUUAAUUUCUUAAUUGAUUGAUUGACAAAGUGUAUACGCAAGUACACAAGAAAGGAAUUAACCUAUGCGAGCAUGGAGUGUAGCCGCUUCAAGAAACUUGGACUUGGUUUCGUGUGCGCUCGUGAAAGGAAUGGGACACAUGGCGGUCAAUAGUGUUAGAAUAUUUAGAAUAGAUAGAAUAAACUAUUGUGUAUGUUAUCUUCAUAUACUCAAAUGAGUAGACAGGUCCAAUCCGUAGUGACACACCUAUAUUCGAGUAUUUUGAAAUGUGUAAUAUACUAGAUGGAAAUUCAAUCUUCAUGACAUUUUCAUUGAUGCAAGAGCUUUCGGUUGGAUAUUUGUUAUAAUUUUAGCGAAUUCACAGACUUCACUAAAAUGGGGGAGGAAUGUUGGAAAUAUGCACCUAGGGUUCGACCUUGGUGUGAUGGCAGCACCAUGGACUUUACCUUGGUGCGAUGAUGGUGUUGGUACGGAUGUGUGGACUCAAGGGAAACCUCACCUUAGCUCAGAGCAAGAUGGAACUAGCUAGCAUCAGCUCCUCUAUGAGCUAGGUGAUGCUAGGGACUGACACUCAAGCUCAUCCAGCUCAACUUGAGAUGGAUGCUAGUGUCACUAGCUGCGAUGUUGAGCUGAGCUACAAUGAUGGUAGGGAGCUAUGUGGUUGGGGUGGUUACUCCUUCUCCUAGGACGAAUUGGCUUACACCUCUUCGUGAGAGUCAAACUCAAUUCUGAGUUGUUUUCCCUCCAAAACCCGUGGGGCUUUAAGGUACCUUUUAACCACCUUCAAGUCUAUCCAUAAGAUAACGAUUCCAGUUGGUGCAUGAAUUCGUACCCCUUCACCCCUGGACUCUUUGCCUAUGUAAAGAAGGCAGUUGCGUGUUAAAAAUAGACAUAAAUAGAAACAUCUACCCUAGCCUAUGAUAUUCUAAGUGACUCCAGUUUCUAAAGUCUAAGAACUCGAGUGUAGACGGUAUAAUCCCCGGAAGGGAUUUCCUGAUACUCAACGCUUGUAGGGUGGAAAUACUCUUUUCGGAAAGUGGUGUCCAUAAUUCCGUCUUGAUCCUAGAUCUCUUUACUUAUCAAACCUAGAAGCAUUGCUGCUUGAAACCUCCCGAACUAACAACCUUGAAGCAUUUAGGCCGAAUAUUAUGGGCCUAACCAUUUGGAUUGAACCCGAGCCUAUAAAUUGCUCCCAUAUAUGGCUCAAAAGUAGUUCAUAACAUGUAAUUCUUAAUUGUUCUAUGAUGCAUUGUAGUUCCACAUCUCCUUCGACGUACGAGAUGUCUAACAACUCAACGCGGAGGCCAAAGAUAACCUACUCUACAUAAGCAAGCUAAGGUUAUUCAUGAGGGUUUACAAAAUUGCCAUUCAAUCUGUGCAUAAUGCUAAUCGAAGAUUGGAUUGUGGUGAGGCCACGAGAUCUAACUAAAAUAAACUUAAGGGAAAAAAUUUGAAAAAUCAAAGGUGUGCAAGAAUGCCAAAUCAAGUGGGUUCAAGACAAUUGAUGAUAAGGUGCUUAGACUUUGAAUCCCUUAGCUUACGAUAUUCUAAUGAUGAAUGACAAGUCGGUUUUGUAGAAACUCAUACCAAUGUCCAUACAUCGAUGCACUGUUCUCAAACUAAGGCCUAAGAUCCCACGUUGUUUCGUUUCAACCUUGCUACCUAAUUACUAGUCCUAGACCAAGCUCCAACUACAACAUAAAAAGUGUGUGCACUAUGCAUGAACGGUGUACAAUUUGUGCAAGCCUCGUACAAAUUAUACGGUUGGUCGUUAGAUAUUAAAAUAUUUUUUUCAUGAGUCAUAAAGCUUGCAACGGUUAUUAUGUGGGUGAAGAAGAAUUUCGUCAACGGAAAUCAAAGUCGUCAUAAAACUCAUCGAAAAACUUUCUAAUCGUUGUAGACAGUACCCCGAUUGUCGGAAACGAUGGUCUAACGACCAGAGCAGGUGGUCCAACCAAGAAAAUUGGUUGGGUCCCGGAAACUUGAAAAAACAAAAUUAUUUAAACUUAACAUGACCAUCUUUUCCCAAUUAAUUUAGUCCCUUAGAUUAUGUAGCCAUUCAUAAACCUAAAUUGAUAUUUGAUUGCAUAAAAGAUAUUUUUAUACCCUUAAUUCUAGUCCAGCCGUCGGAUCAAACCUGCAGCUCACUCCCGCCGUUAGAUGCACGUUUCAGAAAGAUAUGACCCAACUAUGAGCCGUUUCGAGGAAAGACGGUAUAAAAACUAAAUGUCGACAAACCUACAUUUUUUUGCUGUGCUGCGCGAGGUUGCGUUUGUUUGGCAAUUGACGCUGACCCUUCUCAACCUCGGCUGCGCCGCGUCUUCUUUCUCUCUGCUCCCAAAACCCUAAUUCUACUGCUCAUAUACAACCCGCCAUUGGAGCUCACAAGAAGGAGACAGCCUCUUUCUAGCUCUGCAAAGAACAGUAUCACUAAGGUACGAGAAUAGCUGUACAUCUUGUAUCCCUGAUUUCGUUUUUGUAAGUCUUUUGGGCCUUUCAUCAUUGUUGAUGGCGAUCUUCAUCUCUUAUAGUUAAUCUAGAUUCAUUUUACUUAGAAGCGAUGCUUAGGUAGUAGAUUUAGGUCUUCCUUUGUCUCGACCUCAAGCUUCUCUUUGUUGCCUGAAACUAUCUGCGUUUUCUCCCCUGGCUACCAUAUCAUAAGGUGGAUAGCUAGAUAUCAUCUGUCAAGGGAUUUGAUUCGGCUGUUAUCUUUUUUUUUUCCACACUACCUUGUUCUCUUGUAAGGUCGGUUCUCGGAAAGUUUGCUGUGUUACGUGCACAAGGCUACGAAUUGAUGCACAACGGUAUUUUCAUGGAAGUAGAUGUCUUUGUGUGUCGUAAAGUUAUAAAAGUGGUACUGGCUCUUGCUGAGUGCUCAACUGUAUGUUCAUGGAAGUAGAUGUGUUUUUGUGCUGUGAAGUUAUAAAAGUGGUACUGGCUCUUGCUGAGUUGCAUGCCUAGUACUUGCUAAUGCUGCACAUUUGAUUUCCAUAUGUAUUCUGUCUCUUCACUCUGUGUAAUUUGUUCCAUGCAGCUUGGAGACUUCCACCAGGUGUACAAGAAUUCUCCAUCAUAAAGAGGCUAGGCUUUGGUUCUUAUAUCAGCAACCGUUAUACUAAACCUUAGAAGCGGCAUGAUGGUUCGGAACUCUCUGCGGCUUAUUUCAUACUCGCAAGAACUUGUAGAUGGUCAGCCACUAUUUGUUUCUUCAAAUUGCUUUCCUGUAAAAGCUAAAAAUUAUGAUCCUGCGGGACAUGCGUUCCAUGCUGCUGCUCUCAAACUUGUUGGAUACCUAGCCACAGAAGAGCAGAUACGGAAGAGUUAUCGUGAGGUUGCUUUGAAGUAUCAUCCUGACAAACAGGCUGCACUUCUUCUUGCCGAGGAAACUGAGGCUGCAAAACAAGCUAAAAAGGAACAAAUAGAAAGUCAUUUCAAAGCUAUCCAGGAAGCGUAUGAGGCUCUAAUUGAUCCGGUGAAGAGAAGAGUUUAUGAUUCUACUGACGAGUUCGAUGAUGAAGUUCCCACUGAUUGUGCACCACAGGACUUCUUUAAAGUGUUCGGGCCUGCAUUUGUGAGGAAUGGUCGUUGGUCUGUGAGUCAGCCAGUGCCACCAUUGGGUGAUGAUGCCACUCCUUUUAAAGAAGUGGACAGCUUUUAUGAUUUUUGGUACAGCUUUAAAAGCUGGAGAGAAUUCCCCCAUGAAGAUGAGUUUGAUCUUGAGGAUGCUGAAUCUCGUGACCAUAAGAGGUGGAUGGAGAGGCAAAAUGCAAAACUGUCUGAAAAGGCUAGAAAAGAAGACUAUGCACGUAUUCGUACCCUAGUUGACAAUGCCUACAGAAGAGAUCCGAGAAUACAGAAGAGAAAGGAAGAGGAGAAAGCUGAGAAGCAGCGUAAAAAGGAGGCCAAGUAUUUGGCAAAAAAAUUGCAGGAGGAAGAAGCUGCAAAAGCUGCUGAAGAGGAGCAACGCAGGAAAGAGGAGGAGGGAAAACGUGCUGCUGAAGCUGCUUCGUUACAAAAGAAAGCAAAGGAGAAGGAGAAGAAACUUUUAAGGAAAGAACGUGCUCGUCUUCGAACAUUUUCAGCUCCAGUCUUGUCCGAUCGUUUUCUUGGCGUUACUGAAGAUGAUGUAGAAAAUCUCUGUAUGUCGCUUGACAUGGAGCAAAUGAGAGGUUUAUGUGAUAAGUUGGAAGGUCAAGAGCCAUUAGAGAAAGCCAACCUCUUGAAGAAUGCAUGUGGACAUGAUCAGGAAGCUGAGAAUCACAAGGGAGACCAGAAGAAGACACCUCAGCAGAACGGUUCUGCUUCUAAUGGGGGUUUUCAUGGCAGCAGUUAUAGCAGCAAAGAAAAACCUUGGCUUAGAGAAGAAAUCGAGCUCCUAAGAAAAGGAAUGCAAAAAUUUCCCAAGGGUACUUCUCGCCGUUGGGAGGUUAUCUCUGACUAUAUAGGCACUGGGAGAUCUGUUGAACAGAUCAUCAAGGCAACUAAAACAGUUCUCCUCCAAAAGCCUGACUCUGCUAAAGCUUUUGACUCCUUCCUGGAGAAGAGGAAACCCGCAGCAUCGAUUGCUUCUCCGCUUACAACGAGAGAGGAAAUGGGUCUCGUGAAUCCGCAGAGCUCCGAAGAUAAUGCUGUAAAGGUGGACAAUACUGAAGAAGCUCCAAGUUUGAGUUUAGACAACCCGAAAACUGAUGACGGAAAUUCUGCAACAAAUACAACGCCAUCUUCUGCUUCUUCUUCAGAGCAGGAUGUAUGGUCUGCUGUUCAGGAGAGGGCGCUUGUCCAAGCACUGAAAACCUUUCCAAAGGAUGCCAAUCAACGAUGGGAGCGAGUUGCAGCUGCAGUACCUGGAAAGACUCUUAACCAGUGCAAGAAGAAAUUUGCUUUGCUGAAAGAUAGCUUCAGAAGCAAGAAAACUACCGCUUAGUCUCCUAUCGUGAUUUAUGGUCAUCGUUAUGAAGAGCUCUUAUCUCGCGAAAUCCUGGAAAGCUAUCACAUAUGCCAGGUAGAGCAAGUUGGGGCCCUAAGAAUUUUACUAGUACAACAGGUUUUUUGGUGUCCGAAAACGAGAGUAGAGUAAAGUACCGCCACCAUUAUUUUCCGCAUGGAAAGAAGAUUUUGUUCAAGAGGGAUAUAUGACAAUGUUUCCUUCAGUUAACUAUAAUGAUCUUUGUAUUUGCUUGAUUUUUAGACUUGGCUACUGUAUUUUGCAAGAGUCAUUGGAUGUUAGAUACAUUUUCUUAUGCAUUAAUUACUACGACGCUUGUCAUGAAUCAUGAUGAACAGUUGCAUUAGAGCCAGAUUUGUUAAGAGCUCAGAUGAUGAACACUGUGUAAUGAUAGUUCUUAC